ACCCGGGUGGUGGAACUGGUAGACACGCAGGACUUAAAAUCCUGUGACACUUAAAUGUCGUGCGGGUUCGAUUCCCGCCCCGGGUA
This 86-nucleotide transfer RNA is filed under the name Darwinula stevensoni. It matches the Rfam family "tRNA". From Rfam's summary of the family: Transfer RNA (tRNA) molecules are approximately 80 nucleotides in length. Their secondary structure includes four short double-helical elements and three loops (D, anti-codon, and T loops). Lineage: Eukaryota; Metazoa; Arthropoda; Ostracoda; Podocopida; Darwinulidae. RNAcentral also lists the same sequence under 2 other names. The record is from Rfam by way of RNAcentral.